Molecule: transfer RNA, 77 nt
Filed under: Aquirufa nivalisilvae
Lineage: Bacteria; Pseudomonadati; Bacteroidota; Cytophagia; Cytophagales; Flectobacillaceae
Description: tRNA-Ala
Rfam family: tRNA
About the family: Transfer RNA (tRNA) molecules are approximately 80 nucleotides in length. Their secondary structure includes four short double-helical elements and three loops (D, anti-codon, and T loops). Further hydrogen bonds mediate the characteristic L-shaped molecular structure. tRNAs have two regions of fundamental functional importance: the anti-codon, which is responsible for specific mRNA codon recognition, and the 3' end, to which the tRNAs corresponding amino acid is attached (by aminoacyl-tRNA synthetases). tRNAs cope with the degeneracy of the genetic code in two manners: having more than one tRNA (with a specific anti-codon) for a particular amino acid; and 'wobble' base-pairing, i.e. permitting non-standard base-pairing at the 3rd anti-codon position.
Source: RNAcentral
GGGGAUGUAGCUCAGUUGGCUAGAGCGCUUGCAUGGCAUGCAAGAGGUCGUCGGUUCGAGCCCGAUCUUCUCCACUA